GACGAUUUUUUUUCAUUUUCUUUGGGAAGUUGGACGACAACUUUGAACGGAAAAAUUCAGUUUAGGGUUUUAAAACCCUAAUGCUGAUUAAAGGAAAAAGUUCAGUUUAGGGUUUAAAACCCUAAUGUUGACUGAAUGGAAAAAGUUUAGUUUAGGGUUUAAAACCCUAAUGCUGACUGAAUGGAAAAGUUCAGUUUAGGGUUUAAAACCCUAAUGCUGAUUAAAUAGAAAAAGUUCAGUUUAGGGUUUAAAACCCUAAUGCUGAAUGAAUGGAAAUAUUCAGUUUAGGGUUUAAAACCCUAAUGCUGACUGAAUGGAAAAAGUUCAGUUUAGGGUUUAAAACCCUAAUGCCGAAUAAAGGAAAGAGUUCAGUUUAG
RNAcentral lists this long non-coding RNA (377 nucleotides) under Nicotiana tabacum (common tobacco). RNAcentral describes it as "long non-coding RNA (NTAB_LNC009172)". The record is from RNAcentral. Lineage: Eukaryota; Viridiplantae; Streptophyta; Magnoliopsida; Solanales; Solanaceae.